AGCAGCCGCGGUAAUUCCAGCUCCAAUAGCGUAUAUUAAAGUUGUUGCAGUUAAAAAGCUCGUAGUUGAAUUUCGGGAUCAAUAUGUUGGUCGUGCCUUGGUACGUACUGGCAUUAUCGAUUCCUACCUUCUGAAGAACCUUGAUGUCAUUAAUUUGGUGUCUUGGGGAAUCAGGACUGUUACUUUGAAAAAAUUAGAGUGUUUAAAGCAGGCUCGCGCUUGAAUACAUUAGCAUGGAAUAAUGAAAUAGGACGUUUGAUUCUAUUUUGUUGGUUUCUAGGAUCGACGUAAUGAUUAAUAGGGAUAGCUGGGGGCGAUUAGUAUUCAAUUGUCAGAGGUGAAAUUCUUGGAUUUAUUGAAGACUAACUACUGCGAAAGCAUUUGCCAAGGAUGUUUUCAUUAAUCAAGAACGAAAGUUAGGGGAUCGAAGACGAUCAGAUACCGUCGUAGUCUUAACCAUAAACUAUGCCGACUAGGGAUCGGAUGAUGUUAAUUUUUUAAUGACUCAUUCGGCGCCUUA
Molecule: ribosomal RNA, 520 nt
Filed under: uncultured Glomus
Lineage: Eukaryota; Fungi; Glomeromycota; Glomeromycetes; Glomerales; Glomeraceae
Description: SSU rRNA
Rfam family: Eukaryotic small subunit ribosomal RNA
Source: RNAcentral